Molecule: ribosomal RNA, 206 nt
Filed under: uncultured bacterium
Lineage: Bacteria
Description: partial 16S ribosomal RNA
Rfam family: Bacterial small subunit ribosomal RNA
Source: RNAcentral
UGCGUAGGCGGGUCUUUAAGUCAGGGGUGAAAUCCUGGAGCUCAACUCCAGAACUGCCUUUGAUACUGAGGAUCUUGAGUUCGGGAGAGGUGAGUGGAACUGUGAGUGUAGAGGUGAAAUUCGUAGAUAUUCGCAAGAACACCAGUGGCGAAGGCGGCUCACUGGCCCGAUACUGACGCUGAGGCACGAAAGCUGGGGAGCAAACA